CACUAUGCUUUGCCCUAAACAUUGAUAGCCUUAUACAACCACUAUCCGCCCGGGAACUACGAGCAACAGCUUAAAACCCAAAGGACUUGGCGGUGCUUUAGACCCACCUAGAGGAGCCUGUUCUAAAACCGAUAACCCCCGUUCAACCUCACCUUUUCUUGUUCUCUCCGCCUAUAUACCGCCGUCGUCAGCUUACCCUAUGAAGGCCCCUUAGUAAGCACAAUUAGUACAACCCAAAACGUCAGGUCGAGGUGUAGCGUAUGGAAAGGGAAGAAAUGGGCUACAUUCCCUAUUACAGGUAAUUACGGAUAAUAUUACUGAAACGUGUAUCUAGAAGGAGGAUUUAGCAGUAAGCAGAAAAUAGAGUGUUCUGCUGAAACCGGCCCUGAAGCGCGCACACACCGCCCGUCACUCUCCCCGAACGUUUACCCACAACUUAACUUAAAACCUUACAUUAGUAAAGGGGAGGCAAGUCGUAA
This 479-nucleotide ribosomal RNA is filed under the name Epinephelus coioides (orange-spotted grouper). Its description in RNAcentral is "partial small subunit ribosomal RNA". It matches the Rfam family "Bacterial small subunit ribosomal RNA", at positions 788 to 1491 of the family's 1533-position model. The record is from RNAcentral. Lineage: Eukaryota; Metazoa; Chordata; Actinopteri; Perciformes; Serranidae.